CCACCUGGGUCAUAACAAAAACUAUUGCCAAAUAAGUAAUAGCAUAACACAUCUGCACUGUUGUCAGGAAAAUGAAAGGUUCAUAUAGUUGGCAACUUCAGGGUGUGUUUCUUAUUUUCAUGAUAUUUGGCACCCACAGGUUCUACCAUACACUCCAACCCCCCUUUUCCAGUGACAGAACCAAGUCUGAUCUCUGAGAAGUAGAGGCUAUGAUGCUUCACAGGUGCCAGGACAGAACAAGCUCCAGAUGACAAUAUUUAACAGGGACUUGACAUGCCUGUUAGUUCUGAUAGGACAAAGAGGAAAAUAUGCAUAUUGUAUUUAUAUCUCGUAGAUAUAACAUAUAUAUGUUGUAUGUACUUAAUAUCUAUAGAUAUAAAUAAAAAUAAGCAUAAAAUAUAAUAAAACAAUCAUCAUCAUCAUUUUAGCCAUUGACUAUCCACUACAGGAUGAAGGCCUCUAAUACGGUCCUGAACUUUCUUUUGCCAAUUGGGCCUGCAAUACUUGCUGAUGACGUCAGUCCAUCUUGUUUUAAAACAAUCUUAUAUAAAGCAAUAUAAUAAUACAAAGAAUAGUGGUGUUCACCAAGUACAAUGGUACAAUUUAAAGUACAAUUAGUACAAGAUUACUAUUGGUGUAAUAGAACAAAGAGAAGAUAUAUCAGAGGUAUAUAUACAUAUAUAGGUCAGAUAGAAGUGAAAUAUAAGCUUUAGAUUCUGUGCCAGGAUAUUCAGAGUGAGAUAAAUAAAUGUGUAGGACAACUGAAAAUUUGUCUAAUUUUCAUUAACUUAUUAAUAAGUAAUUAGAGACUUUUGUAAACUAGCUAGCUAGAUUAGCUAUUUCUUUGACUGCAAGUAGUAACAUUUCUUUAACACCUGCCAGAGUCAGCUAGAGAGGUUGGCAACAAAUACUGCAUAGGCUGCACACAAAUCUGUCUCACAAACUAGCUGACAGGAUGUGGUUUUAAUACUUGGCUGAGAUACAUUGCAAAUGAGUUGCUACUGGAAAAUAAGAGAGGUGGCAAGAAUUAAGAGAGGUGGCAGGAUAUUUAGCUAGCAGUGUUUAGGGGUAUACAGAUAAGAAUCUGGCAAUGAACAAAAUUUAUCAUUAUCAUAGUAAAAACAGUGGUAGUCAACAUAUGAAAAAUGAAGUAGGAGUGAAAAGUUAAUAGAGUAUUAUGGGAUGAUUUUGCCUUGUGCGCAGGUAUGACUAUCACAGAUCAAAAAAAUUCUUACUGUUGUUUUCUGUGGUAAAUUAUACAAAAAUUGUACAAAAAUAACUUGGUCUAAUAUCUGUCACACUCCCUGGAUGUGAAAUUCAGAGGUGUCCUUAUCUGCUUCUGUACAGAAAUAAAAGAGUUUUGUCUUUUCUUGA
Long non-coding RNA from Crotalus tigris (Tiger rattlesnake), 1374 nucleotides. RefSeq lists it as uncharacterized. The transcript is spliced from 2 exons. The record is from RefSeq and is a predicted model, not a curated record. Lineage: Eukaryota; Metazoa; Chordata; Lepidosauria; Squamata; Viperidae.